Molecule: ribosomal RNA, 449 nt
Filed under: uncultured bacterium
Lineage: Bacteria
Description: partial 16S ribosomal RNA
Rfam family: Bacterial small subunit ribosomal RNA
Source: RNAcentral
AAUGAACGCUGGCGGCAUGCCUAACACAUGCAAGUCGAACGAAGGCUUCGGCCUUAGUGGCGCACGGGUGCGUAACGCGUGGGAAUCUGCCCUCAGGUUCGGAAUAACAGCGAGAAAUUGCUGCUAAUACCGGAUGAUAUCGCGAGAUCAAAGAUUUAUCGCCUGAGGAUGAGCCAGCGUAGGAUUAGCUAGUUGGUGUGGUAAAGGCGCACCAAGGCGACGAUCCUUAGCUGGUCUGAGAGGAUGAUAAGCCACACUGGGACUGAGACACGGCCCAGACUCCUACGGGGGGCAGCAGUGGGGAAUAUUGGACAAUGGGCGAAAGCUUGAUCCAGCAAUACCGCGUGAGUGAUGAAGGCCUUAGGGUUGUAAAGCUCUUUUACCCGGGAUGAUAAUGACAGUACCGGGAGAAUAAGCUCCGGCUAACUCCUUGCCAGCCGCCGCCGUAA